CGGGACGGGUGAGUAAUGUCUGGGAAACUGCCUGAUGGAGGGGGAUAACUACUGGAAACGGUAGCUAAUACCGCAUAACGUCGCAAGACCAAAGAGGGGGACCUUAGGGCCUCUUGCCAUCGGAUGUGCCCAGAUGGGAUUAGCUAGUAGGUGGGGUAACGGCUCACCUAGGCGACGAUCCCUAGCUGGUCUGAGAGGAUGAUCAGCCACACUGGGACUGAGACACGGCCCAG
RNAcentral lists this ribosomal RNA (233 nucleotides) under uncultured bacterium. Its description in RNAcentral is "partial 16S ribosomal RNA". It matches the Rfam family "Bacterial small subunit ribosomal RNA", at positions 100 to 334 of the family's 1533-position model. The record is from RNAcentral.